UCCGCCCUGACCUUAACCCCAGAGGAAGGAAGGAAUGGUGGCCGGGAAGAACGCCCCGCCUACCUGGGCAGCCCCGCCCUUCCGUUUUCUUUCCGUUUCAUUCUGUUGCAAAGGAGGAAAGGCCGACCAGGUGGAUGGGGCUGCAGGCACAGACGGACAGAUAUUUUGCAAGUGAGACCAACGGACUUCUGGCGAGGGGCUGGGGCCUCUUUUGAGCCGUCUAGGUCCUCCUGGGUGGACGCCUCCCAACCCGAGAUAGCGCCAAGGUUAGAUCACUCAGGCGCAGCCUCCAGCCCUCCCACCCACGAUGGCCCACAUGGCUUCUGCCUGGUCAUCGCCUCGUGCAGAGGCUGUAAGUCAAGCGUGGUCACAUCACCUCUCCAGCCACCAAGACCUCUCCAGGCACUUGGGACAGUUGCCCACCCCACGAGGCCCUGGAGGUCUGGCCCGGCCUGCCCAGGUCUAUCCCGCUCAUACGUGGUCUCUGCUCCGGCCUCCGGUCUCGCUGGCCCAGCUCCCGAGCUCCCCUUCAUGCAUGCUGUUCCCUCUGCCUGGAACUAUGCUGUUCCCUCUGCCCAGAACAGUCCUACCUCCGACCCCAUACCUUCUCUCCUUAGCCCGCUGAGUAGCCGCCCCACGUCUGCCUCCUCUGGGGCUCUGCACACCUGUUGUCGCGGCUCGGGUGUGUGAUCGUGUUUCUCUCGCCUCGUCCCUGUGCCCCUGGAGGACAGGUUCUGGCUCCCCUUGUCCACUGGGCGGGAGGCACACGUUCCACGGAGAGAUCCAAAGCUGGGGCCCUGCUGCCUCCCCCUUCCCUCCCGGCCCGGCCGGCCCUGGGAGGAGACGUUUGUUUCCCUGGGGAAAAGGGCCUCUCAGGACGGCAUCUGCCACUGGAGAAACCGGGAGGAAGAGGGAGUCCAGGCAGACGUGGGCUCCGGGCCUCCGGAGGGCCACGGAUGCCACCAGGCGCCCCUCGUGGAGUCAGGGACAAGGGGUUCUGGGGAAUGGCUCUCCCUGAGAGAUCGGCCGUUCAAGUGGACGUUGAAAGAGCCAUUAGCUUGAGGCACCAGGAGACGCGCAGGAAACAGGUUCUGGACGGAAAUGACAUGGUCCCGUGUGGGUGCGAGCUCAGCCCCUUGGUGGGGUCUCCUGGCGGUGCAGGGGGGAAUCUGUACCACCCUGAAUGCCCUCUGGCUGUGCAGGGGGGAGAAGGGCAGGCCUGACAGCACUCCCCCCACCCCACGACCCCCUCCAACCUGGGACCCUGCCCUGGGGGUGCCGGGCACCUGUGAGCGUUUCCAUCCUGGGGCCUGGGGCCGUGAGUUAGGACCACCGGCCAGGGUGGGGUCCCCGCGCUCCCACCUGCAACCCCCAAGUCCUUCUGCUGUGGACCCCCUGCCUGUAAGAGGUUUGCACGCCUCACUUAACAGUCGGGACCACUCCCCGAGGAGCUAGCUGCUCUAAAUGGCCAUUUAACAGAUGAGGAAAGGGAGGCCCAGAGACGCGCAACAAGAGGCUUGGGAGAAGCUUUCCUCCCUCUCCCAAUCUCUCCCCGCUCCUCCUUUACUAGACAAGAUUUUCCUGCGCAGGCGUGGGCCGGGUGUUGGGAAUACCAAGAGGGCCCUCCUGGGCCUCUCCCCGGCUGGUUACCAGCAGGGGACAAGCAGGUCAGUCCCCAGGCCAGCUCUGGGACACUGGCGGUGGCCCCUGGAGAGCUGUGCGGGAUGGGGCUGGGAGGCCGGGUCUGGCUCGGGGAAAGUGUGCUGCGAUCCAUUAGUGAUGUCUGCCGUGCACGUAGGCCUGGGGAGAAGGGGCGGGCUUUGCUGUCCACCCCUGGAGCCCAGACCCGCAGAGCCUCUAAAACCCCUCCCGACAACACCGGCUCUUCUCUCCAUCUUCAGAUGAGAAGGCAGGUUCUCUGUGAGGUCUUACGGCUCAACCAUGGCAGAGCUGGGACCUGAGCCCAGGCCCCGAGGGUCCCCGUUUUCCUCGGCCUCCUGCUACGGUGCCCUGACUGCCUCUUUGCUUCGGCUGCUAGGGAGCUCCGAGGACAGCUUGGGGCCUGCCCUCAGGUGCCCCCUCAGCCUGGGGUUUGGAGCAUUUCUCUUGCCCCCUCCUCUGGGCUCUUUAUCCUCCCUGCCGGGCCUCCCGUGGAGCGGGCCGGACAUAAGUUAUCAACUAUAAAUAAAACCAAGACUUCCGUUCUGGCCCUCA
Neofelis nebulosa (Clouded leopard) is the source of this 2214-nucleotide long non-coding RNA. RefSeq lists it as uncharacterized. The transcript has 2 exons. NCBI's taxonomy places the organism in Eukaryota, Metazoa, Chordata, Mammalia, Carnivora, Felidae. The record is from RefSeq and is a predicted model, not a curated record.